This 422-nucleotide ribosomal RNA is filed under the name Fusobacteriota bacterium. RNAcentral describes it as "Fusobacteria bacterium partial 16S ribosomal RNA". It matches the Rfam family "Bacterial small subunit ribosomal RNA", at positions 355 to 776 of the family's 1533-position model. The record is from RNAcentral. Lineage: Bacteria; Fusobacteriati; Fusobacteriota.
UGGGGGAUUUUGCACAAUGGGCGCAAGCCUGAUGCAGCGACGCCGCGUGAGGGAUGAAGGCCUUCGGGUUGUAAACCUCUUUCGCUGGGUUGAAAGGCCAUGCUUUGGGUGUGGUUGAUUUGAACUGGUAAAGAAGUACCGGCUAACUACGUGCCAGCAGCCGCGGUAAUACGUAGGGUACUAGCGUUGUCCGGAUUUAUUGGGCGUAAAGGGCUUGUCGGUGGUUUGUCGCGUCUGUCGUGAAAUCCUGUGGCUUAAACAUGGGCUUGGGGUGGGUACGGGCUGUCUUGAAUGCGGUAGGUGAGACUGGAAUUCCUGAUGUAGCGGUGGAAUGCGCAGAUAUCAGGAGGAACACCGGUGGCGAAGGCGGGUCUCUGGGCCGUUACUGACACUGAGGAGCGAAAGCGUGGGGAGCUAACAGG